This 602-nucleotide ribosomal RNA is filed under the name uncultured organism. RNAcentral describes it as "bacterial SSU rRNA". It matches the Rfam family "Bacterial small subunit ribosomal RNA", at positions 88 to 666 of the family's 1533-position model. The record is from RNAcentral.
UAGUAAAGUGGCGCACGGGUGAGUAACGCGUGGGUAAUCUACCUUCGAAUCUGGGAUAACAUUGCGAAAGCGAUGCUAAUACCGGAUGACAUCUAAUGAACUUCGGUUUAUAAGAUCAAAGGUGGCCUCUACAUGUAAGCUACUGUUUGAAGAUGAGCCCGCGUCCCAUUAGCUUGUUGGUAGGGUAAAGGCCUACCAAGGCGACGAUGGGUAGCUGGUCUGAGAGGAUGAUCAGCCACACUGGAACUGACACACGGUCCAGACUCCUACGGGAGGCAGCAGUGAGGAAUUUUGCGCAAUGGGGGAGACCCUGACGCAGCAACGCCGCGUGAGUGAUGAAGGCUUUCGGGUCGUAAAGCUCUGUCAAGUGGGAAGAAACUGUGAGGUGUCAAUAUCAUCUUGCACUGACGGUACCACUGAAGGAAGCACCGGCUAACUCCGUGCCAGCAGCCGCGGUAAUACGGGGGGUGCAAGCGUUAUUCGGAAUUAUUGGGCGUAAAGAGCGCGUAGGCGGCCAGUUAAGUCAGAUGUGAAAGCCCGUGGCUUAACCCCGGAAGUGCAUUUGAAACUAAUUGGCUUGAGUAUGGGAGAGGGAAGUGGAA